This 292-nucleotide ribosomal RNA is filed under the name uncultured bacterium. Its description in RNAcentral is "partial 16S ribosomal RNA". It matches the Rfam family "Bacterial small subunit ribosomal RNA", at positions 505 to 796 of the family's 1533-position model. The record is from RNAcentral.
GUGCCAGCAGCCGCGGUAAUACGUAGGUGGCAAGCGUUGUCCGGAUUUAUUGGGUUUAAAGGGUGCGUAGGCGGUCCUAUAAGUCAGUGCUGAAAUAUCCCGGCUUAACCGGGAGGGUGGCAUUGAUACUGCAGGACUUGAGUAGAGUUGAGGUUGGCGGAAUUGACGGUGUAGCGGUGAAAUGCUUAGAUAUCGUCAAGAACACCGAUAGUGUAGACAGCUAACUAAGCUCAAACUGACGCUGAGGCACGAAAGUGUGGGGAUCAAACAGGAUUAGAAACCCCCGUAGUCC